This 218-nucleotide ribosomal RNA is filed under the name uncultured bacterium. RNAcentral's name for it is "partial 16S ribosomal RNA". It matches the Rfam family "Bacterial small subunit ribosomal RNA", at positions 1285 to 1500 of the family's 1533-position model. The record is from RNAcentral.
GUCUCAGUUCGGAUUGUAGGCUGAAACUCGCCUACAUGAAGCUGGAGUUGCUAGUAAUCGCGAAUCAGCAUGUCGCGGUGAAUACGUUCCCGGGCCUUGUACACACCGCCCGUCACACCAUGAGAGUUGGCAAUACCCAACGUACGUGACCUAACCCGCAAGGGAGGAAGCGUCCUAAGGUAGGGUCAGCGAUUGGGGUGAAGUCGUAACAAGGUAGC